Molecule: ribosomal RNA, 468 nt
Filed under: uncultured bacterium
Lineage: Bacteria
Description: partial 16S ribosomal RNA
Rfam family: Bacterial small subunit ribosomal RNA
Source: RNAcentral
GACGAACGCUGGCGGCGUGCUUAACACAUGCAAGUCGAACGGAAAGGCCCUGCUUGUGUGGGGUGCUCGAGUGGCGAACGGGUGAGUAACACGUGAGUAACCUGCCCUUGACUUUGGGAUAACUUCAGGAAACUGGGGCUAAUACCGGAUAGGAGCUCCUGCUGCAUGGUGGGGGUUGGAAAGUUUCGGCGGUUGGGGAUGGACUCGCGGCUUAUCAGCUUGUUGGUGGGGUAGUGGCUUACCAAGGCUUUGACGGGUAGCCGGCCUGAGAGGGUGACCGGCCACAUUGGGACUGAGAUACGGCCCAGAAUCCUACGGGAGGCCGCAGUGGGGAAUAUUGCACAAUGGGCGGAAGCCUGAUGCAGCAACGCCGCGUGCGGGAUGACGGCCUUCGGGUUGUAAACCGCUUUCGCCUGUGACGAAGCGUGAGUGACGGUAAUGGGUAAAGAAGCACCGGCUAACUACGUG